RNAcentral lists this ribosomal RNA (371 nucleotides) under uncultured bacterium. Its description in RNAcentral is "bacterial SSU rRNA". It matches the Rfam family "Bacterial small subunit ribosomal RNA", at positions 527 to 896 of the family's 1533-position model. The record is from RNAcentral.
AGAGGUCUCGAGCGUUGAUCGGAUUUAUUGGGCUUAAAGGGUGCGUAGGCGGUCCUGUCAGUGCCUUGUGAAAUCCCAUGGCUUAACCAUGGAAUGGCUCGGUAGACCACAGGACUUGAGGUUGGUAGGGGUCGCUGGAAUUCUAGGUGGAGCGGUGAAAUGCGUAGAUAUCUAGAGGAACGCCAAAGGUGAAGACAAGCGACUGGGCCAAUUCUGACGCUGAGGCACGAAAGCGUGGGUAGCGAACGGGAUUAGAUACCCCGGUAGUCCACGCCCUAAACGAUGUGCACUAGAUCGUGGAGGCUCUGACGCCCCCAUGGUCGAAGUUAAAAUGCUAAGUGCACCGCCUGGGGAGUACGGUCGCAAGGCUA